RNAcentral lists this ribosomal RNA (403 nucleotides) under uncultured bacterium. RNAcentral describes it as "bacterial SSU rRNA". It matches the Rfam family "Bacterial small subunit ribosomal RNA", at positions 28 to 411 of the family's 1533-position model. The record is from RNAcentral.
GAUGAACGCUGGCGGCGUGCUUAACACAUGCAAGUCGAACGAAGCACCUUUACGGAAGUUUUCGGAUGGAAGUGAUGGUGACUGAGUGGCGGACGGGUGAGUAACGCGUGGGUAACCUGCCUCAUACAGGGGGAUAACAGUUAGAAAUGACUGCUAAUACCGCAUAAGCGCACAGGACCGCAUGGUCUGGUGUGAAAAACUCCGGUGGUAUGAGAUGGACCCGCGUCUGAUUAGCUAGUUGGUGAGGUAACGGCCCACCAAGGCGACGAUCAGUAGCCGACCUGAGAGGGUGACCGGCCACAUUGGGACUGAGACACGGCCCAAAACUCCUACGGGAGGCAGCAGUGGGGAAUAUUGCACAAUGGCGAAGACCUCGAUGCGAGCGACGCCGCGUGAGCGAGAG